This 468-nucleotide ribosomal RNA is filed under the name uncultured bacterium. RNAcentral describes it as "partial 16S ribosomal RNA". It matches the Rfam family "Bacterial small subunit ribosomal RNA", at positions 28 to 507 of the family's 1533-position model. The record is from RNAcentral.
GACGAACGCUGGCGGCGUGCUUAACACUUGCAAGUCGAACGGAAAGGCCCUGCUUUUGUGGGGUGCUCGAGUGGCGAACGGGUGAGUAACACGUGAGUAACCUGCCCUUGACUUUGGGAUAACUUCAGGAAACUGGGGCUAAUACCGGAUAGCAGCUCCUGCUGCAUGGUGGGGGUUGGAAAGUUUCGGCGGUUGUGGAUGGACUCGCGGCUUAUCAGCUUGUUGGUGGGGGAGUGGCUUACCAAGGCUUUGACGGGUAGCCGGCCUGGGAGGGUGACCGGCCACAUUGGGACUGAGAUACGGACCAGACGCCUACGGGAGGCAGCAGUGGGGAGUAUUGCACAAUGGGCGGAAGCCUGAUGCAGAAACGCCGCGUGCGGGAUGACGGCCUUCUGGUUGUAAACCGCUUCCGCCUGUGACGAAGCGUGAGUGACGGUAAUGGGUAAAGAAGCACCGGCUAACUACGUG